ACGCAAUGUGUUCAAAAUUGAAAGAAUAAUCUUCCCCCAGCCCCUCCCACUUCCACACGUUCCUAUUUCUGCGAGCUGCCCUACCUUUUCAGCAUCCUCAUUAUCCUCAGCUCUCAACUUUCAAUGAUUCCAAAUAGCUAGUCAUUUGCCAACACCUGCAAUUUCUACCUCCAUGACAUCUCUAGUAUCCAAGUCCUUCUCUACCGUUAGGACUACCUCUUCAGUUCAGGUCCUCCUCCUUUCUUGUCUAAAUUAUUGCCAUAGCCUUCCAAGUGGGCUCCUUGUCUCAUCUCUCUGUCACUACUGCUAUUUUCCCAAUUGAAGACUUAACCAUGUUAUUUUCCUACUCAAUCAACCCCAUGGGCUCUAAAAUUAAAACUGCUUUGGUUAGCAUAAAAAAACCCUUAUCUUCCAUCUUAGAAUCAAUAUUGUAUAUUGGUUCCAUGGCAAAAGAGGGGUAAGGGUUAGGCAAUGGAGGUUAAGUGACUUGCUUAGGGACACACAGCUAGGAAGAAUCUUUGCUCUUAUUUGAACUCAAGACUGUCUCUAAACUAAGUCACCUAGCUGCCCCACUCUGUUUAGCUUCUAAAGUACUAUGUAGUCUUAACUCUAUAAAGACUCAAUCUUCCUUGCUUCGUUGUAUAUUAUUUCAUUUCUGUGAUCUUGAUGUGCUUUUUAUUCCUCUACUUACUCCCUAUUGCUGUAGUAGUAGUAGUAGUAGUCUCUCGGUAACCGAGGAUGACAAUCGUCUUUGUGUGCUUUCAUCUGUGAUGUAGAUGAGUGUGCACAAAGACACUUGUGAAUGAAGGAGAUUUAAGUGGAAAAGCUGAUGCACAGAGAUAGUCCCACUCUCUCGGCAUUGGAAGCCUGGGUCCAGUGGCAUGAAAAAUCGUUACACCUGGAGACUUCCUCAGCUGCAUUGGAUGGCCAUGUUGUCCUUUGUGCUCCAACACGCCCUAAGCACUCCACAGUGCUUUGCUGCGUCGCCCUCUCAGCCGUUGAACCUUCUUAUUGGUUUCUUCCGUCUGUUCAGCCGAAGCAGUCUUCACAUGCUGGGCACUACAUGAUUCUUCUCAUUGCUAUUGCUUACUCGUGAAGGAUUUGCUGAAAACAAGAAUGCAAGCACUUGAUGAAAGUGUGGAGAUCUCUCCUUUGCCUUUCAAAGAAGACUGCUAAAAAGAGGCAUUUGAUAAACAGCUACCUUUGCUCUGAGAAAGGAAAUUGGAGUAACUGGUUGAAAGAAGAUGGAAUGUAGAACCACCUGAAAGUCUUUUCCUUGGGGCAAAUGAGGGCAAAUUAGCAAUGUUGGGCAUAGUAGGGCUUUUAUUGCCCACAAAUGGAACCCAGAGCAUGCUGGUACAGAACAGAGGGCCUUUCUUCAAAUGAAAGUGCUUAUUUCUUGGUUCUAUAUUUUCAAAAAAUCUGUCUUGCUUGUGACAGUAGAAGGAAGACAAAACUAACUUCCAUAAAACUUCAUCCUACCUUGCAUUUUUCUGCCUUACUGAAUGGGGCCAAGUAGUAUCAUGUUAAAUUGGAACUGAAAGCACCAAAUAGAUGUCAACAGGGACUGCAGAAUGGGUUUGGCUCAGGUUCCAGAUGCACCUGGAAAAAGGAAAUGAACAUACAAAUCAUAUAAACCAAAGUUCUUGGGGGGAAAAAUUCCAGAGAAUUGUGGGAGCUUCUUCAAAGACUAUGGUUUUCAUGAAGGAAAAAGGGAAGGUGAUUUUCAUAUGAACAGGGUUGAUUAAAAGCCACACUACUCAAGCCAAGAGCCAGGUUGAAGUCCAAAGGUUCUCUGAAAACAAAGUUUUAAAGAACCAUAGAAUGUUGGCACUGCACCAUUUAGUCCAAGGGUUCUUACCAUUUUUUGAGUCAUGUACCCCAUGGACAGCCUAGAGACAUUAAUGGACUUCUCUGGGUAAUAUCAAAUGUAUAAAAUAAAAUUCAUAGGACUACAAAGGAUUAUAUUGAA
This is a long non-coding RNA of Monodelphis domestica (gray short-tailed opossum), 1972 nucleotides long. The record is from Ensembl. NCBI's taxonomy places the organism in Eukaryota, Metazoa, Chordata, Mammalia, Didelphimorphia, Didelphidae.